Molecule: unclassified non-coding RNA, 342 nt
Filed under: soil metagenome
Description: partial contains 5.8S ribosomal RNA, internal transcribed spacer 2, and large subunit ribosomal RNA
Rfam family: 5.8S ribosomal RNA (bases 1-120)
Source: RNAcentral
GAUGAAGAACGUAGCAAAAUGCGAUAAGUAGUGUGAAUUGCAGAAUUCAGUGAAUCAUCGAAUCUUUGAACGCACAUUGCGCCCGCUAGUAUUCUGGCGGGCAUGCCUGUCCGAGCGUCAUUUCAACCCUCAAGCCCCCGGGCUUGGUGUUGGGGAUCGGCGAGCCUCCGCGCCCGCCGUCCCCUAAAUCUAGUGGCGGUCUCGCUGUAGCUUCCUCUGCGUAGUAGCACACCUCGCACUGGGAAACAGCGCGGCCACGCCGUUAAACCCCCAACUUCUGAACGUUUGACCUCGGAUCAGGUAGGAAUACCCGCUGAACUUAAGCAUACAAUAAGCGGAGGA